UUGGAGGGCAAGUCUGGUGCCAGCAGCCGCGGUAAUUCCAGCUCCAAUAGCGUAUAUUAAAGUUGUUGCAGUUAAAAAGCUCGUAGUUGAAUUUCGGGAUUGACGUGAUGGUCAUGCCUUAAGGGGUAUGAACUGUCACUGUUGAUUUCUCACCUUCUGGAGAAACUUGAUGUCCUUUAUUGGGUGUCUUGCGGAUCCAGGACCUUUACCUUGAAAAAAUUAGAGUGUUUAGAGCAGGCAUUUUUGCUCGAAUACAUUAGCAUGGAAUAAUAGAAUAGGACGGCAUGGUUCUAUUUUGUUGGUUUCUAGGAUCACCGUAAUGAUUAAUAGGGAUAGUUGGGGGCAUUAGUAUUCAAUUGUCAGAGGUGAAAUUCUUGGAUUUAUUGAAGACUAACUACUGCGAAAGCAUUUGCCAAGGAUGUUUUCAUUAAUCAAGAACGAAAGUUAGGGGAUCGAAGACGAUCAGAUACCGUCGUAGUCUUAACCAUAAACUAUGCCGACUAGGAAUCAGACGAUGUUAAUUUUUUAAUGACUCGUUUGGCACCUUACGGGAAACCAAAGUGUUUGGGUUC
RNAcentral lists this ribosomal RNA (572 nucleotides) under uncultured Glomeromycotina. RNAcentral's name for it is "SSU rRNA". It matches the Rfam family "Eukaryotic small subunit ribosomal RNA", at positions 548 to 1114 of the family's 1831-position model. Lineage: Eukaryota; Fungi; Glomeromycota. The record is from RNAcentral.